This 74-nucleotide transfer RNA is filed under the name Gulosibacter sp. 10. It matches the Rfam family "tRNA". Rfam says of the family: Transfer RNA (tRNA) molecules are approximately 80 nucleotides in length. Their secondary structure includes four short double-helical elements and three loops (D, anti-codon, and T loops). Lineage: Bacteria; Bacillati; Actinomycetota; Actinomycetes; Micrococcales; Microbacteriaceae. The record is from Rfam by way of RNAcentral.
CCCUCCAUGGCCCAAUUGGCAGAGGCGAACGACUUAAAAUCGUUGAGUUCUCGGUUCGAGUCCGAGUGGGGGGA